Mya arenaria is the source of this 219-nucleotide long non-coding RNA. RefSeq lists it as uncharacterized. The transcript is spliced from 3 exons. The record is from RefSeq and is a predicted model, not a curated record. NCBI's taxonomy places the organism in Eukaryota, Metazoa, Mollusca, Bivalvia, Myida, Myidae.
UGACGUCAGCGUCCCUGGCAUGUCGGCAGUGUGAUAACGUCCUGUCUUGGACCGACUGCUCGGCCCCGUUUCACUGUCUUAACGAGUGCAUCAUGACAGUGACACAGGAACAUCACGGGAACUUCUUCUCUGUACACUGUGGCAAAGUUGAAGCGGUUCAACAUGACAAACACACAGUUUGUGUGGACUCCUGUAACACUCCGGACUGCCUUCACACCC